This 26-nucleotide non-coding RNA is filed under the name Homo sapiens (human). Lineage: Eukaryota; Metazoa; Chordata; Mammalia; Primates; Hominidae. The record is from RNAcentral.
UGGAGGCUGGGCUGCGAGAGUGUUGC